Molecule: long non-coding RNA, 150 nt
Organism: Stegodyphus dumicola
Lineage: Eukaryota; Metazoa; Arthropoda; Arachnida; Araneae; Eresidae
Source: RefSeq, a predicted model, not a curated record
AGACCAAAAAAAACACGAAAAGUUCCUGCAGAACGUCUUCUUGAGGAUAAAAAGAAAGAGGAGCCUGUAUUAUGUGAACCACAAACUAGUGCAACGUCUGUUGAAUAUUCUCCAUGCAAGCAACAGCUGAAGCGAAAGCUGCAUAAAGCU